Molecule: unclassified non-coding RNA, 330 nt
Filed under: soil metagenome
Description: partial contains 5.8S ribosomal RNA, internal transcribed spacer 2, and large subunit ribosomal RNA
Rfam family: 5.8S ribosomal RNA (bases 1-120)
Source: RNAcentral
GAUGAAGAACGCAGCGAAAUGCGAUAAGUAGUGUGAAUUGCAGAAUUCAGUGAAUCAUCGAAUCUUUGAACGCACAUUGCGCCCCUUGGUAUUCCAUGGGGCAUGCCUGUUCGAGCGUCAUUUGUACCCUCAAGCUUUGCUCGGUGUUGGGCGUCUUGUCGUAUUACGACUCGCCUUAAAUACAUUGGCAGCCGGCACUUUGGCCUAGGAGCGCAGCACAUUUUGCGAUCGUAGCCCGUUGUACUGGCGUCCAUCAAGAACAUUUACCACGUUUGACCUCGGAUCAGGUAGGGAUACCCGCUGAACUUAAGCAUAUCAAUAAGCGGAGGA